UAGUCCACGCAGUAAACGAUGAGUGCUAGUUGUCGGGAUUUUUCUCUGUGGCGAAGCUAACGCGUUAAGCACUCCGCCUGGGGAGUACGGCCGCAAGGCUAAAACUCAAAGGAAUUGACGGGGACCCGCACAAGCAGUGGAGCAUGUGGUUUAAUUCGAUGAUACGCGAGAAACCUUACCAGCUCUUGAAUCCUGAUUACGAUUUUCAGAGAUGAAUUUUUCAGUUCGGCUGGAUCAGUGACAGGUGUUGCAUGGCUGUCGUCAGCUCGUGUCGUGAGAUAUUCGGUUAAGUCCUAUAACGAGCGCAACCCUUGUGGUUAGUUGCCAGCGAGUAAUGUCGGGAACUCUAGCCAGACUGCCGGUGCAAACCGUGAGGAAGGUGGGGAUGACGUCAAAUCAUCACGGCCCUUACGUCCUGGGCCACACACGUGCUACAAUGGUAGGGACAGAGAGCAGCCACAACGCGAGUUGGAGCGAAUCUAUAAAACCUAUCACAGUUC
RNAcentral lists this ribosomal RNA (500 nucleotides) under uncultured bacterium. RNAcentral's name for it is "bacterial SSU rRNA". It matches the Rfam family "Bacterial small subunit ribosomal RNA", at positions 791 to 1294 of the family's 1533-position model. The record is from RNAcentral.